AAAAAAAAAAAAAAAGAGAGAGAAAUAAAAAUAAAAUCUGGUUGCUAUGGGGAUAGGAAGGCUGCAGGAGGCUAUUCCAAAGCCUGCAGUCUGUGCGAGCGCAGUGUUCUCACGGCAGAAAGGAGAGUGUGUGGUGGCUGUGUAAACUUCAGUUUGACUGGGGCAUGCCAGGCUUACGCUCAUAUAUAACUGCUGUAAGCACCUAAGUGCUGAGCCAGCAGCUAACCUCAGACCUGUGUUCUCAUCCUAGUGACCUCACUAUGGCUGUGGGUCACCACCACUGCAGCUGUGCACAGACCCUGUAACGAGCAUCAGGAUGCUGCUCCCACAGCCAAGCCGCAGCGUGGACAGGCAGAUUUUCCUCCCUCACUGAGUUGUUGUGAAUGGAAGUCACCAGAGACGUAUUGCAGCUGUCUCCCUGUGGUGGGUUACACGAACUGCAGCCUGUGGAAAUGUUCCUCUUGUCUGACGGAUCCUUACCUCUAGUGCACUGUACAGGAUCGUACAACAACAAAUGGAAGCGAUAUGAUUCUGAAGAUGUCUCAGAUUUAGUAGGCACCAAACAAAGAAGAAAAAAAAAUAACUUUCAGGAUGGAAAAUCAUGGAGGAUUGACUCCAGCCAGCAGCCAAGCACCCACACAGCUGCUUUUUCCCUCCCUCACCCCAAGAGGGAGAAAAUAGGAGGAAUACAAGUGAGGGAAAUUGUGGAUUGAGAUCAAGACAACUGAAUUGGUGAAGAAAGAGAGGAAGAACCAUGAGCAAAGCAGAGGAAAUCAUACAGCACCGCUACAGACAGCUUGAUACUCGGUCUGUCAAGGGGCAGCUUGGAAGCCAAACGCCUUUCUACUCUCUUAUCUCAGUUUUUAUUGCUGGGCAUAGAAUCAUAGAAUCACCAAGGCUGGAAAAGACAUCCUAGAUCAUCCAGUCCAACCAUUCACAUAUCACCAAUAUUUCCCACUAAACCAUGUCCCUCAGUACAACACCUAAAUGUUUCUUGAACACUCCAGGGACAGUGAUUUCACCACCUUCUCCCUGGGCAGCCUGUUCCAGUGCCUGACCACAUGCCUGAAGAAGUUUUUCCUAACAUCCUACCUGAAUCACCCCAGCGCAACUUGAGGCCAUUCCCUCUAGCCCUAUCACUAGUUACAAGGGAGAAGAGACUAACCCCACCCCACUACAACCUCCUUUCAGGCAGUUGUAGAGAUCAAUAAUGUCACCCCUGAGCCUCCUCUUCUCCAGACUAAAUAAUUCCAGUUCCCUCAGCCAAUCCCCAUAAGACUUUUGCUCCAGACCCCUCACCAGCUUUGUUGCCCUUCUCUGAACAUGCUCCAGGACCCCAAUGUCUUCCUUGCAGUGAGGGGCCCAAAACUGAACACAGUGCUUGAGGUGCAACCUCACCAGGGUUGAGUACAGAGGGAUGAUCACUUCCUUGCUUCAGCUGGCAACACUAUUUCUGAUACAAGCCAGGCCACCUGGGCACACUGCUGCCUCACAUUCAGCUGAGCAUCAACCAACACCCCAAGUCCAUUUCUUGUACGGUGUUCCAGCCACUCUGCCCCAAGACUGUAGCAUUGCCUGGGGUUGCUGUGGCCAAAGUGCAGGACCUGGCACUUGAUCAUGUUGAACUUCAUCCCUUUGGCCCCAGCCUAGUGAUCGA
RNAcentral lists this long non-coding RNA (1657 nucleotides) under Numida meleagris (helmeted guineafowl). RNAcentral describes it as "lncRNA (ENSNMEG00000013166.1)". The record is from RNAcentral. Lineage: Eukaryota; Metazoa; Chordata; Aves; Galliformes; Numididae.